Molecule: non-coding RNA, 217 nt
Filed under: Callithrix jacchus (white-tufted-ear marmoset)
Lineage: Eukaryota; Metazoa; Chordata; Mammalia; Primates; Cebidae
Description: Eukaryotic large subunit ribosomal RNA
Rfam family: Eukaryotic large subunit ribosomal RNA
Source: Rfam by way of RNAcentral
UUUCCCUCAGGAUGGCUGGCACACUCCCAAAACCCACCCCAUGUGGUUUCAUCUGGUAAAGCAAAUGGUUGGAGGUUUUAGGAUCCAAAGGAGCUCCACGUAUUCUCACACUUUAAAUGGGAAAGAAACCCAGCUUGCUGGCACAUGGAGCCAGGUGUGGAACGCAAAUGCCUAGUGGGCCACUUCUGGUAAGCAGACCUUGCGCUGCAGGAUGAAG